UGGGGAAUUUUGGACAAUGGGCGAAAGCCUGAUCCAGCAAUGCCGCGUGUGUGAAGAAGGCCUUCGGGUUGUAAAGCACUUUUGUCCGGAAAGAAAUCCUUGGCUCUAAUACAGUCGGGGGAUGACGGUACCGGAAGAAUAAGCACCGGCUAACUACGUGCCAGCAGCCGCGGUAAUACGUAGGGUGCAAGCGUUAAUCGGAAUUACUGGGCGUAAAGCGUGCGCAGGCGGUUUGCUAAGACCGAUGUGAAAUCCCCGGGCUCAACCUGGGAACUGCAUUGGUGACUGGCAGGCUAGAGUAUGGCAGAGGGGGUGAGAAUUCCACGUGUAGCAGUGAAAUGCGUAGAGAUGUGGAGGAAUACCGAUGGCGAAGGCAGCCCCUCGGCAGUCACUGACGCUCAUGCACGAAAGCGUGGGGAGCAAACAGGAUUAGAUACCCUGGUAGUCCACGCCCUAAA
Molecule: ribosomal RNA, 458 nt
Filed under: uncultured bacterium
Lineage: Bacteria
Description: partial 16S ribosomal RNA
Rfam family: Bacterial small subunit ribosomal RNA
Source: RNAcentral